Molecule: ribosomal RNA, 468 nt
Filed under: uncultured bacterium
Lineage: Bacteria
Description: partial 16S ribosomal RNA
Rfam family: Bacterial small subunit ribosomal RNA
Source: RNAcentral
GAUGAACGCUGGCGGCGUGCCUAACACAUGCAAGUCGAGCGAUUCUCUUCGGAGAAGAGCGGCGGACGGGUGAGUAACGCGUGGGUAACCUGCCCUGUACACACGGAUAACAUACCGAAAGGUAUGCUAAUACGAGAUAACAUAAGAAAUUCGCAUGUUUUUCUUAUCAAAGCUCCGGCGGUACAGGAUGGACCCGCGUCUGAUUAGCUAGUUGGUGAGGUAAUGGCUCACCAAGGCGACGAUCAGUAGCCGACCUGAGAGGGUGAUCGGCCACAUUGGAACUGAGACACGGUCCAAACACCUACGGGGGGAAGCGGUGGGGAAUAUGAAACAAGGGGCGAAGGCCUGAUGAGGCAACGCCGCGUGAGGGAGGAAGGCCUUCGGGUCGUAAAGCUCUGUCCUCAAGAAAGAAAAUGACGGUACUUGAGGAGGAAGCCCCGGCUAACUAGGUGCCAGCCGCCGCCGUAA